GCUGGCGUAGCUCAGUGGUAGAGCAGUUGAUUUGUAAUCAACUUGUCGGGGGUUCAAGUCCUCUCGCCAGCUCCA
This 75-nucleotide transfer RNA is filed under the name Candidatus Poribacteria bacterium. RNAcentral describes it as "tRNA-Thr". It matches the Rfam family "tRNA". From Rfam's summary of the family: Transfer RNA (tRNA) molecules are approximately 80 nucleotides in length. Their secondary structure includes four short double-helical elements and three loops (D, anti-codon, and T loops). Lineage: Bacteria; Candidatus Poribacteria. The record is from RNAcentral.